This 495-nucleotide ribosomal RNA is filed under the name uncultured bacterium. RNAcentral's name for it is "partial 16S ribosomal RNA". It matches the Rfam family "Bacterial small subunit ribosomal RNA", at positions 28 to 507 of the family's 1533-position model. The record is from RNAcentral.
GACGAACGCUGGCGGCGUGCCUAAUACAUGCAAGUAGAACGCUGAAGGAGGAGCUUGCUUCUCUGGAUGAGUUGCGAACGGGUGAGUAACGCGUAGGUAACCUGCCUGGUAGCGGGGGAUAACUAUUGGAAACGAUAGCUAAUACCGCAUAAUAGCAGUUGUUGCAUGACAACUGUUUGAAAGGUGCAAUUGCACCACUACCAGAUGGACCUGCGUUGUAUUAGCUAGUUGGUGGGGUAACGGCUCACCAAGGCGACGAUACAUAGCCGACCUGAGAGGGUGAUCGGCCACACUGGGACUGAGACACGGCCCAGACUCCUACGGGAGGCAGCAGUAGGGAAUCUUCGGCAAUGGACGGAAGUCUGACCGAGCAACGCCGAGUGAGUGAAGAAGGUUUUCGGAUCGUAAAGCUCUGUUGUAAGAGAAGAACGAGUGUGAGAGUGGAAAGUUCACACUGUGACGGUAUCUUACCAGAAAGGGACGGCUAACUACGUG